Molecule: long non-coding RNA, 305 nt
Organism: Sphaeramia orbicularis (orbiculate cardinalfish)
Lineage: Eukaryota; Metazoa; Chordata; Actinopteri; Kurtiformes; Apogonidae
Exons: 3
Source: RefSeq, a predicted model, not a curated record
UUCAUCUGCCUCUCUUCUUACCCUGAUUGCCCAUCACUCUGAAACAGGAUAAAUCUGGACUCAUCAGACCACAUGACUUUCUUCCAUUGCUCCAGAGUCCAAUCUUUUCGCUCCCUAGCAAAUUGAAGCCCUUUUUACAGGUUAGCCUCUCUGAUUAGCGGUUUUCUUACGGCUACACAGCUGUUCAGUCCCAAUCCCUUGAGUUCCCUUCGCAUUGUGCAUGUGGAAAUGCUCUUACUUUCACUAUUAAACAUAGCCUACUGUUGUUUUUCUUCAAUUUGAUUUCACUAAAUUUUAAGUGAUCA